UCAAGGCCCGCCUCCUUCAAGGUCCUGACUGGUUCACGGCAAAUGUGGGUCGGGGCCUAAGGGAAGGCAUUGAGGUUUGAAGGCUGCGAGCUGCCCGGAGAGAAGCAGGAGGUGUCCCAGGGGGAGGGGCCCAGGCCUGACAUGGGUCCUGCUGGGGGCCACGGCCAAGGCCGCCCCCGUGCCCAGUUUGGCCAGCACAAGGCACCUGCUGAUCCAAGGAAAGGAGGGGUCUGAGCAUAAAGCCGGUUCUCCUUCUCCAGGGACUUCAGAACGCUGGUGGCUGUGCUGACCCGGGAGGUGGGCUGCCAGUGCCCUGGACUGCAAGGCCGCAUCCAUGGGAAGGAGUCUACUGUGUGAGCAGGUUGAGUGAAUGCUCCCCGAGGCCUUCAGUACUCUCUGCUCCCCUCAGCCUGUGGUAGGUGGCUCCCAGCACCCAGAGCUUCUCUUUGGCACACCCCUACCCACACUAUUUGUUGUCUGUGCCUACAGGCUGUAACUAGAACUGUGUCUCACUCAUCUCUGUAUAGUCCCUGUGCCUGGCUGGUUUAGGCUUUCAGUAACUGGAUGGAUAGAUGGAUGGAUGAAGGAAUGCCCCAAGGAACAGAAAGCUGAAGUAACUACCCUGUCCCAGCAUUGCCUCUUCUCGUUGCUCCCAUGUUCAUGUCUGCUGCAUCCCAAGGGACUGGUUAGUUGUGUGGGUCUGUGAUUGUCAGGUGGGAGACCACUGCCCUCCUGAGCUGGCCCUGGACCAGAACCACACAGCAGCUGACCUCCUGGCCCAGGCUGUGCAUGAACAGCCUGGGGCACCUGCCCUGCUCACUCAC
This is a long non-coding RNA of Panthera uncia (snow leopard), 824 nucleotides long. RefSeq lists it as uncharacterized. The transcript has 3 exons. The record is from RefSeq and is a predicted model, not a curated record. NCBI's taxonomy places the organism in Eukaryota, Metazoa, Chordata, Mammalia, Carnivora, Felidae.